Non-coding RNA from Paramuricea clavata, 108 nucleotides. NCBI's taxonomy places the organism in Eukaryota, Metazoa, Cnidaria, Anthozoa, Malacalcyonacea, Plexauridae. The record is from the annotation of a GenBank genome assembly.
UAAGACGUUGAGACGUGUUGUGGCAGGGGGACAAUUGCCAAAUACCCUUUCAGAAAGGGUAUUUGGCAAUUGUCCCCCUGCCACAACACGUCUCAACGUCUUUAGUUU